GAUGGACGCUGGCGGCGUGCCUAAUACAUGCAAGUCGAGCGAACAGACGGGAGCUUGCUCCUCUGACGUUAGCGGCGGACGGGUGAGUAACACGUGGAUAACCUACCUAUAAGACUGGGAUAACUUCGGGAAACCGGAGCUAAUACCGGAUAAUAUAUUGAACCGCAUGGUUCAAUAGUGAAAGACGGUUUUGCUGUCACUUAUAGAUGGAUCCGCGCCGCAUUAGCUAGUUGGUAAGGUAACGGCUUACCAAGGCGACGAUGCGUAGCCGACCUGAGAGGGUGAUCGGCCACACUGGAACUGAGACACGGUCCAGACUCCUACGGGAGGCAGUAGUAGGGAAUCUUCCGCAAUGGGCGAAAGCCUGACGGAGCAACGCCGCGUGAGUGAUGAAGGUCUUCGGAUCGUAAAACUCUGUUAUUAGGGAAGAACAAAUGUGUAAGUAACUAUGCACGUCUUGACGGUACCUAAUCAGAAAGCCACGGCUAACUACGUG
This 496-nucleotide ribosomal RNA is filed under the name uncultured bacterium. Its description in RNAcentral is "partial 16S ribosomal RNA". It matches the Rfam family "Bacterial small subunit ribosomal RNA", at positions 28 to 507 of the family's 1533-position model. The record is from RNAcentral.